Non-coding RNA from Pelobates cultripes (western spadefoot toad), 257 nucleotides. Lineage: Eukaryota; Metazoa; Chordata; Amphibia; Anura; Pelobatidae. The record is from the annotation of a GenBank genome assembly.
CAUAUAAAAAAAAAAGACAACUUUGUUCCGCCGAGUAGCUGUUGACAUUAUAGUUGCGCAGGCACUUUGUUAACUCUAGAGAACCUCGGGCCAAUCGCACAUCCCCGUGGCAACGACUUUGCAUGCGGAUGUCACCCAUAUAAACUUUCGAUGCCAGUUUCUGCGCCUACCAUGAUGACCACGGGUAACGGGGAAUCAGGGUUCCAUUCCGUACAGGGACCCUGAGAAACAGCUACCACAUGCAAGGAAGGCAGCAG